Nycticebus coucang (slow loris) is the source of this 103-nucleotide small nuclear RNA. NCBI's taxonomy places the organism in Eukaryota, Metazoa, Chordata, Mammalia, Primates, Lorisidae. The record is from RefSeq and is a predicted model, not a curated record.
ACACCUUUUCCAGUAUCUAUUAGAAAAAUCAGAGUAACAGAGAAGAUUAGCAUGGCCCCUGUGCAAGGAUGACACUCAAAUUCGUGAAGUGUUCCAUAUUUAA